GGAGGAACGCACCGCGAGCACCAACGUCCCGCCCCUGUCUUGGCGGUCCUCAGAAUGAAAUCCAGAUUCACUAAAGAGUUCCUCAGUCCUCUAGGACCUGGCCCUUUUUUCUCAUUGAUCAUACUGCCUGCUCCUAUUCUGAGGGUAACAGGAACCUCGAGGAGGGUAAGUGACAUUUAGACUGAGACUCCAAGGGUGAGGGGAGACUUCCAGGCUGGGGGACGGGGUCUGUAAAUUCCCACUGUCAUGUGGGAGGAAAGAUCAUCCAGCGGGUCCUGAAAUUGGCUGCACGUUGGCGUCAUCUGGGGACCUUUACAUGCUGCUGAUGCUCAGCUUCUGCGCCACGUGCUCUGAUUUAGUUGAUGAGGUGCAGACCUGGGCAUAGAAAGCAGUUGCUUUCAAGAGUAGCUGUGAACAUGGUGAUCUCUUCUAGAAUGUCCCCAUUUCCCAGGAGGAUAUUCUGUUUCCCUAUAACGUUUUGAAGAGUCUCAGUAGAAGCAGCCUGUUUUUGACAAAAAGAUCGUCAGAGUACAGCUCAGCACAUUCUCACAGACAGAAUCGCCCUGGUCCAGACAUCGUCAGCAUCCUGGAAGCUGCCAUGCCACCUAUCACUACCCCCACCAAGGGAGCCACUACGCUGACUUCUAAAUACAGAUUAUUUUUGUCUGUUGUUGUGCUUUAUAUAAAAAUGUAUGCUCUGUG
This 702-nucleotide long non-coding RNA is filed under the name Homo sapiens (human). RNAcentral's name for it is "HSALNT0317785". The record is from RNAcentral. Lineage: Eukaryota; Metazoa; Chordata; Mammalia; Primates; Hominidae.